UACCAGCAGUCCAAGUUGCAGCCAUUAUUAUUGGGUCUAAAACAUCCGUAGCUUGUCUAAUAAGUUUCUUGUGAAAUUUUUAUCUCUCAAGGAUAAAGCGUGCAAGAAAUACUGUUGGGCUAGAGACCGGUAGAUGUAAGGAGUAUGUUCAAGGUAGUGGUUAAAUACGUUAAUCUUGAGCAGACUAACAAUUGGCGAAGGCACCUUACAAGGACGGAUCUGACAGUGAGGGAUGAAAGCCAGGGGCGCAAAACGGAUUAGAUACCCCAGUA
Molecule: ribosomal RNA, 272 nt
Filed under: uncultured prokaryote
Description: partial 16S ribosomal RNA
Rfam family: Archaeal small subunit ribosomal RNA
Source: RNAcentral